UACAGAGGGUGCAAGCGUUAAUCGGAGUUACUGGGCGUAAAGGGCGCGUAGGUUGUUAAAUAAGUUUCAUGUGAAAGCCCCGGGCUUAACCUGGGAACUGCAUGGGAAACUGUUUGACUAGAGUAUGGUAGAGGUAAGUGGAAUUUCCGGUGUAGCGGUGAAAUGCGUAGAUAUCGGAAGGAACACCAGUGGCGAAGGCG
RNAcentral lists this ribosomal RNA (200 nucleotides) under uncultured bacterium. RNAcentral's name for it is "partial 16S ribosomal RNA". It matches the Rfam family "Bacterial small subunit ribosomal RNA", at positions 524 to 723 of the family's 1533-position model. The record is from RNAcentral.